RNAcentral lists this ribosomal RNA (252 nucleotides) under uncultured bacterium. Its description in RNAcentral is "partial 16S ribosomal RNA". It matches the Rfam family "Bacterial small subunit ribosomal RNA", at positions 525 to 776 of the family's 1533-position model. The record is from RNAcentral.
ACGGAGGGUGCAAGCGUUAAUCGGAAUUACUGGGCGUAAAGAGUACGUAGGUGGUCUACUAAGUCAGAUGUGAAAGCCCCGGGCUUAACCUGGGAACUGCAUUUGAAACUGGUAAACUAGAGUAUGGUAGAGGGGGGUAGAAUUUCUAGUGUAGCGGUGAAAUGCGUAGAUAUUAGAAGGAAUACCAGUGGCGAAGGCGGCCCCCUGGACCAAUACUGACACUGAGGUACGAAAGCGUGGGUAGCGAACAGG